Long non-coding RNA from Magnolia sinica, 1477 nucleotides. RefSeq lists it as uncharacterized. The record is from RefSeq and is a predicted model, not a curated record. NCBI's taxonomy places the organism in Eukaryota, Viridiplantae, Streptophyta, Magnoliopsida, Magnoliales, Magnoliaceae. The transcript has 2 exons.
AAAGACAACCACAAAAAUCACUACUCCAGUUAACCUGUAUUCAUAUAAGUUUAAGGUCACACUAUAUCUUAACUAAGGUGUAGUAAUUUGUCCUCCUAAGACACUUGGUCACCAUGAUCUAUGAUUAAGAUCAUCGUUGUCACGUCCACAUGACCUGUAUAGAUUGGACUCACGUUAGUUUUUUAGGGCACAACACUAUAAUGCUGCCCUCCCAAUUACUCCUUUUGUUUAUGACCCACUUUGAGUUUCAUAUUGGUGAUUUUGUGGUUAUGACUACUUAUAUAAGGAGGUAAGUAAUAGUCAAAGUUGAUGUCAUCAACACAGGUGGGAAUCAAGAAAGUCGUUUGCGCCAGAUAAUAUCGGGUAUAUGUAUGUAUCUUGCGAGGUUAGUCAUGCAUGUAUAUGCAUGAUUACGUUAUGUAAUUUACAUGAAGGCACGCUUGCAUGCAGUGACUGCACAUAUGGAACCGUUCACACGUACGCAUACUUUUUAAUCUGUUUCUUGACGGACCAACUCAUCCCUUUGAUCAAAGACCGACUACGCUAUAACAUGGUGCAUGUUCGGUGAAUCUAGAUCGCUUAAGUGGUGGGCUUACUUUGAUGGAUACAGGUAGGGAAAAAAAAAAGGCCACAUAGAUAGGAAUGCUUGUUUGGCUAUCGCAUCUCGCAAGUGGCAUGGGAGUGAGCUCAAAGCCGCUCAUCAGGGCAUUUUCAUAGUCGGCAGCAACAGGUGAUUGUGGAAGAUCUAUUGCACAUGUGACUUAAAACCCUUCAUCCAUCUAAUAAACGUAAGCAAUCACGCCUGGCAGCCCAAGAUAGGGAGAUGGUACAGUAGAACGAGAAGAACUAGCAUGCGGUUGAGCCAACGAUCUCGUUAGACCUACCAUGGAUGGAAAUUAAUUUGAGAUUGCAAAGAUUGGAUGAUCAUACCUAUAAAGUUAGUGGCCUAUGCAUUAUUGAUGGUGAAAAAGAAAAUCAGUUUAACAGUCAACAUCAAGCGUUGGAAAAUAAGGGCAAGUUGAGUAGAAUGGAUUUUAAAGUUUAGUUUUUAAACCUUAAAUUUCAAACUUUGGGUGUUCAAAUAUGUUUGGCAACCUAGAUUUCAAAUUCCUAAAUUCAGUAUUUGUGUUUUGCAGUUUGGAUCUUUACUUUAAAAUUUUUCUAGAAUUAAUCUGAAAACAUUCACAGGAUAAUGAAUAUAAUGAACUAAAUUGUCUCAAAUAUUUUAACAUAACUUAUGUAAGAUAAUCACUAUAUUGAGCAUAUUGUAAGAUAGCCUCAACUUAAAAAUAAGAUAUAUAUAAGUAUCAAGUGGUCCAAAAAAAGUAAAAGUGAUUUGGGUAGGUGGCAGUAACCAAAUCUUCCAACCUACUUCAGAGCUUCUCCUAGAGGCAAGAGAAAAUUCGGUUAUGGACAAAAUGGGUAUAUGUAAUAUUUAUUUAUCCUUAUCAUCAUCAAUGAAGGAGGCUCUUUUUUU